This 253-nucleotide ribosomal RNA is filed under the name uncultured bacterium. RNAcentral's name for it is "partial 16S ribosomal RNA". It matches the Rfam family "Bacterial small subunit ribosomal RNA", at positions 524 to 776 of the family's 1533-position model. The record is from RNAcentral.
UACGGAGGGUGCGAGCGUUAUCCGGAAUUACUGGGUUUAAAGGGUGCGUAGGCGGCCAGGUAAGUCAGGAGUGAAAGUUUGCGGCUCAACCGUAAAAUUGCUUUUGAUACUGCCAGGCUAGAAUUAGGAUGAGGUCAGCGGAAUGUGGCAUGUAGCGGUGAAAUGCAUAGAUAUGCCAUAGAACACCAAUUGCGAAGGCAGCUGGCUAGACCUGGAUUGACGCUGAGGCGCGAAAGCCAGGGGAGCAAACGGG